Molecule: ribosomal RNA, 458 nt
Filed under: uncultured bacterium
Lineage: Bacteria
Description: partial 16S ribosomal RNA
Rfam family: Bacterial small subunit ribosomal RNA
Source: RNAcentral
CCUACGGGGGGCUGCAGUGAGGAAUAUUGGUCAAUGGGCGAGAGCCUGAACCAGCCAAGUCGCGUGAGGGAGUACUGCCCUAUGGGUUGUAAACCUCUUUUGUCGGGGAGCAAAAGCCGGACGUGUCCGGCUGUGAGAGUACCCGAAGAAAAAGCAUCGGCUAACUCCGUGCCAGCAGCCGCGGUAAUACGGAGGAUGCGAGCGUUAUCCGGAUUUAUUGGGGUUAAAGGGUGCUCAGGCGGAUGUUUAAGUCAGCGGUCAAAUCGUGGGGCUCAACCCCAUCCAGCCGUUGAAACUGGGGAUCUAGAGUGUGCGAGAGGUAUGCGGAAUGCGUGGUGUAGCGGUGAAAUGCAUAGAUAUCACGCAGAACCCCGAUUGCGAAGGCAGCAUACCGGUGCACAACUGACGCUCAGGCACGAAAGCGUGGGUAUCGAACAGGAUUAGAUACCCCGGUAGUC